Molecule: ribosomal RNA, 271 nt
Filed under: uncultured prokaryote
Description: partial 16S ribosomal RNA
Rfam family: Bacterial small subunit ribosomal RNA
Source: RNAcentral
UACGGAGGUGGCAAGCGUUGUUCGGAAUUACUGGGCGUAAAGGGCGCGUAGGCGGCAUGGCAAGUCAGAUGUGAAAGCUCCGGGCUUAACCUGGGAAUUGCAUCUGAAACUGUUGUGCUUGAGUUCUGGAGGGGGUAGUGGAAUUCCCAGUGUAGCGGUGAAAUGCGUAGAUAUUGGGAGGAACACCUGCGGCGAAGGCGGCUACCUGGACAGAUACUGACGCUGAGGCGCGAAAGCUAGGGGAGCAAACGGGAUUAGAUACCCCCGUAGU